CAAGGGUUCAGUGGUGUGCUAUGUUUGAAAUCUGAACAAAAAAAGGCCCCAGUGAUGGGCUAGUGGAUGUUGUCCCCUAGCCCAUCACCCCACCCGGGGUCACAUGAUGAGGAGGGGCUUCCAUGGGAGAAAAGUGGAAUCAGCAACCUCUCUGACCCCCACCUCCCCUCUGAUGAACCGUACCACAGGCCUGGAACAACAGGAACAGACAGUAGACAACAUUUGCACAACCACAGAGAUCAUCUCUCACAGAGGUCCAUGUUUGUGCAGGGGUCAGACAGAGAUACUGGGUCAACACGGCUUUUAUUCUGGAUGAACCGGAGAAGGAAUGACAUUUCCUGGAAAUCUGACCAAAGACGGGCUGAGGACGGAGGAGGGGGAGGCCAAAACUGGUCCAUGACUCAGAUUGGUAACACCAAUCAUCCAGCAGUGAAGGGGAGGUAGAGGAGGUGGGGAAUCACCGCUAUCUAUCCAACAAUCAUAGAUCAACAUCUGAUACCCACUACAGAAGAGGGGACAAAGACUGGCCAGUGGAACCCCCACUUCCCCCUCCGCCAGCUCCACCAUGAUCACUCUACGCUCUCACAAUACCUUAGACCAAGCUCCUGGAAGCUUCCUUUCCACAUGGAGGAGGUCAAGCCAACGUGACCCAUCCCCCAUUUCUGGAAGAAUGGAAAAAAGCAGAAAGAGGAGCCCGACAAAGAGGUUCAUUAAGGACAUCAGAAAAUACAACUUGAGGGCUUCCAAACUCUACUUUUAAAGUAUGUCAGUGGAAGUUUUUGUCAAGUUAUUACACAAAUAUAUCACAAGGAACUAUAAUCAAAUGUAUUAGAACCCCUUAGGUUAGGACUUCAUUAAAACUACAUUAUUAUCAAAUAUUUAUGAGUGCAGAUAGCUAACUUUUUACCAAAUGACACUAUAUGAUCCACUGAAUAUGACUGUAUUGCAUUUUAAUUACGAUCUAAUUUGAAUGUAUCAGAAUUUGUCCACAUGAUUGGAUUGUCCUGGGACGAAUCUGAAGGAUUUGAUUCUAUGUAACUGAAUGUGAUUUGGACCCGUUUGUUUUCUAGUGCUUUGAGAUGAUAAAUGUUGCGAAACAAAAA
Long non-coding RNA from Girardinichthys multiradiatus, 1103 nucleotides. RefSeq lists it as uncharacterized. The record is from RefSeq and is a predicted model, not a curated record. Lineage: Eukaryota; Metazoa; Chordata; Actinopteri; Cyprinodontiformes; Goodeidae. The transcript is spliced from 2 exons.